Molecule: ribosomal RNA, 506 nt
Filed under: uncultured bacterium
Lineage: Bacteria
Description: partial 16S ribosomal RNA
Rfam family: Bacterial small subunit ribosomal RNA
Source: RNAcentral
GACGAACGCUGGCGGCGUGCUUAACACAUGCAAGUCGAACGGUGAAGGGACUGGUUUUGCUGGUCCUGGAUGAGUGGCGAACGGGUGAGUAACACGUGAGUAACCUGCCCCCUUCUUCUGGAUAACCGCAUGAAAGUGUGGCUAAUACGGGAUAUUCUGGGUCUGUCGCAUGGUGGGCCUGGGAAAGAUUGCGCCUUUUUUGGUGUUUUUGGUGGGGGAUGGGCUCGCGGCCUAUCAGCUUGUUGGUGGGGUGAUGGCCUACCAAGGCGGUGACGGGUAGCCGGCCUGAGAGGGUGGACGGUCACACUGGGACUGAGACACGGCCCAGACUCCUACGGGAGGCAGCAGUGGGGAAUAUUGCACAAUGGGCGCAAGCCUGAUGCAGCGACGCCGCGUGAGGGAUGGAGGCCUUCGGGUUGUGAACCUCUUUCGCCAGUGAAGCAGGCCUGCCUCUUUGUGUGGGUGGGUUGACGGUAGCUGGAUAAGAAGCGCCGGCUAACUACGUG